RNAcentral lists this ribosomal RNA (275 nucleotides) under uncultured Ohtaekwangia sp. RNAcentral describes it as "partial 16S ribosomal RNA". It matches the Rfam family "Bacterial small subunit ribosomal RNA", at positions 338 to 611 of the family's 1533-position model. The record is from RNAcentral. Lineage: Bacteria; Pseudomonadati; Bacteroidota; Cytophagia; Cytophagales; Fulvivirgaceae.
CCUACGGGGGGCUGCAGUAGGGAAUAUUGGUCAAUGGAUGCAAGUCUGAACCAGCCAUGCCGCGUGCAGGAAGAAGGCCUUCUGGGUUGUAAACUGCUUUUAUCUGGGGAUAAAAAAGGAGUGCGCUCCAAAUUGAAGGUACCAGAUGAAUAAGCCACGGCUAACUACGUGCCAGCAGCCGCGGUAAUACGUAGGUGGCAAGCGUUGUCCGGAUUUAUUGGGUUUAAAGGGUGCGUAGGCGGCCUUUUAAGUCAGUGCUGAAAUACUCUAGCUUA